CUUAUCGGUCUCGCGAAUGCAUUCAAUUNGUUUUAUGAUCAUGGCUCAGGACGAACCCUGGCGGUAUGCUAUGCAUGCAAGUCGAACGACGCACGUCGAGGGGGUAACCCCUUGGCGUGACGGAGCGGCGAACGGGUGAGUAACACGUGAGGAACCUGCCCCGAAGACCGGGAUAGCCCGGGGAAACCCGGAUUAAUACCGGAUGAUCUCGUCCUACCGAUGGCGGGACGAGCAAAUGCCUUUACGCUUCGGGAUGGCCUCGCGGCCUAUCAGCUUGUUGGUGAGGUAACGGCUCACCAAGGCUUCGACGGGUAGCUGGUCUGAGAGGACGAUCAGCCACACUGGGACUGAGAUACGGCCCAGACUCCUACGGGAGGCAGCAGCAGGGGAAUAUUGCGCAAUGGGCGAAAGCCUGACGCAGCAACGCCGCGUGGGGGAUGAAGGCCUUCGGGUUGUAAACCCCUUUCAGGAGGGAAGAAGUUGACGGUACCUCCAAAAGAAGCCCCGGCUAACUACGUGCCAGCAGCCGCGGUAAUACGUAGGGGCGAGCGUUGUCCGGAAUCAUUGGGCGUAAAGAGCUCGUAAGCGGCUCAAAGUAAGUCGGGUUGUU
RNAcentral lists this ribosomal RNA (610 nucleotides) under uncultured bacterium. Its description in RNAcentral is "bacterial SSU rRNA". It matches the Rfam family "Bacterial small subunit ribosomal RNA", at positions 1 to 597 of the family's 1533-position model. The record is from RNAcentral.